GGUCCCAGUGCUAAGAACUCCAGGUCUCAAGGGAACUGGUGUUUUAAUUAUGUUUCUCUUGGAAGCCAAUGAAUUUUCCUUUUUAUAUGUCUGUACUGUGGUACUACAUAAUAGUUUACCAGGUUCAGGUUCAUUGCUAAGAACUGGUUCAGUGGUAUGGUUCUCCUGUUCUGGACUCUGUGAGAGUGCUGAUCUAUCAGCAAGUUGUGUAACACACGGCUCAAAGCAACCAGAUCCUUUUCCAUUAUUCUUUUCGACUGGAGUAUUUAUCUCAAUCUCUGUGGAAUGAGAAAAUUCCUUAGUAGUUACAAGUUUGCUUCUAAAUUUUACAUCUUGAUUUAAAGCCAAUCCAUCUUUUUCCCCAUGCUCCAGAGACUUGUAUGGUACAACUUCAGUCUUUGGAGGGGAUAACUGAUUAAUAUCACUGCCAUUCUUCUUUUCCUUGGCACCAGAUUUUAAAUUUGUUUGAAACUCUUUACGAAAUUUCUGCAAGUUCUCCAACGCCUUUUUUCUUAAAACAUUCUCAAGAUCUUCAAUUCCUGUAUUAGCAAUAUUAUCAGAAUUCCCACUCUCACCUCCAUUAUCAUGACUUACUUCUUUGACUAUAUUUCGAUGAGGAUC
Molecule: unclassified non-coding RNA, 621 nt
Filed under: Hevea brasiliensis (rubber tree)
Lineage: Eukaryota; Viridiplantae; Streptophyta; Magnoliopsida; Malpighiales; Euphorbiaceae
Source: RNAcentral